UGAAGCAGGAAGUUGUUAAUGGAAGAGUUUGGAGCAGCCAUAUGGAACACAACCUCAGCUCCUUCACAUACUGCAGUGACAAAGAAGCACUUAAAGUAUAUGA
Molecule: long non-coding RNA, 103 nt
Organism: Neltuma alba
Lineage: Eukaryota; Viridiplantae; Streptophyta; Magnoliopsida; Fabales; Fabaceae
Exons: 3
Source: RefSeq, a predicted model, not a curated record